Molecule: transfer RNA, 68 nt
Filed under: Cadlina japonica
Lineage: Eukaryota; Metazoa; Mollusca; Gastropoda; Nudibranchia; Chromodorididae
Description: tRNA-Ala
Source: RNAcentral
GGUUCUAUACUUUAUUUUUUUAGAAGAUUUGGUUUGCAACCAGAAAGAAGACUGAUGUCUUAGGACCA